GACGAACGCUGGCGGCGUGCUUAACACAUGCAAGUCGAACGGAAAGGCCCUGCUUUUGUGGGGUGCUCGAGUGGCGAACGGGUGAGUAACACGUGAGUAACCUGCCCUUGACUUUGGGAUAACUUCAGGAAACUGGGGCUAAUACCGGAUAGGAGCUCCUGCUGCAUGGUGGGGGUUGGAAAGUUUCGGCGGUUGGGGAUGGACUCGCGGCUUAUCAGCUUGUUGGUGGGGUAGUGGCUUACCAAGGCUUUGACGGGUAGCCGGCCUGAGAGGGUGACCGGGCAAAUUGGGACUACGAGACGGCCCAGACGCCUACGGGAGGCAGCGGUGGGGAAUAUUGCACAAUGGGCGGAAGCCUGAUGCAGCAACGCCGCGGGCGGGAUGACGGCCUGCGGGGUAUAAACCGCUUUCGCCUGGGACGAAGCGUGAGUGAAGGUAAUGGAUAAAGAAGCACCGGCUAACUACGUG
RNAcentral lists this ribosomal RNA (468 nucleotides) under uncultured bacterium. RNAcentral describes it as "partial 16S ribosomal RNA". It matches the Rfam family "Bacterial small subunit ribosomal RNA", at positions 28 to 507 of the family's 1533-position model. The record is from RNAcentral.